GAAUUGAAAAAAGAGUUGUCUAAUAUAAUUUAGCGAUAUGGGCUAAAGUUUCUACCAGUCACCUUAAAAGACUGACUAUUAGAUUGAGCACUUAUACU
This 98-nucleotide non-coding RNA is filed under the name Alkalibacterium sp. AK22. RNAcentral describes it as "Purine riboswitch aptamer". It matches the Rfam family "Purine riboswitch aptamer". Rfam says of the family: Riboswitches are metabolite binding domains within certain messenger RNAs that serve as precision sensors for their corresponding targets. Allosteric rearrangement of mRNA structure is mediated by ligand binding, and this results in modulation of gene expression. A class of riboswitches that selectively recognises guanine and becomes saturated at concentrations as low as 5 nM. RNAcentral also lists the same sequence under 1 other name. Lineage: Bacteria; Bacillati; Bacillota; Bacilli; Lactobacillales; Carnobacteriaceae. The record is from Rfam by way of RNAcentral.